RNAcentral lists this ribosomal RNA (900 nucleotides) under uncultured bacterium. Its description in RNAcentral is "bacterial SSU rRNA". It matches the Rfam family "Bacterial small subunit ribosomal RNA", at positions 8 to 898 of the family's 1533-position model. The record is from RNAcentral.
AGAGUUUGAUCCUGGCUCAGGAUGAACGCUAGCUACAGGCUUAACACAUGCAAGUCGAGGGGAAACGAUAGAGAAAGCUUGCUUUUUCUAGGCGUCGACCGGCGCACGGGUGAGUAACGCGUAUCCAACCUGCCCAUCACUUGGGGAUAACCUUGCGAAAGUAAGACUAAUACCCAAUGACGUCCAUAGAAGACAUCUGAAGGAGAUUAAAGAUUUAUCGGUGAUGGAUGGGGAUGCGUCUGAUUAGCUUGUUGGCGGGGUAACGGCCCACCAAGGCGACGAUCAGUAGGGGUUCUGAGAGGAAGGUCCCCCACAUUGGAACUGAGACACGGUCCAAACUCCUACGGGAGGCAGCAGUGAGGAAUAUUGGUCAAUGGACGAGAGUCUGAACCAGCCAAGUAGCGUGCAGGAUGACGGCCCUAUGGGUUGUAAACUGCUUUUAUAAGGGAAUAAAGUGAGUCUCGUGAGACUUUUUGCAUGUACCUUAUGAAUAAGGACCGGCUAAUUCCGUGCCAGCAGCCGCGGUAAUACGGAAGGUCCGGGCGUUAUCCGGAUUUAUUGGGUUUAAAGGGAGCGUAGGCCGGAGAUUAAGCGUGUUGUGAAAUGUAGACGCUCAACGUCUGCACUGCAGCGCGAACUGGUUUCCUUGAGUACGCACAAAGUGGGCGGAAUUCGUGGUGUAGCGGUGAAAUGCUUAGAUAUCACGAAGAACUCCGAUUGCGAAGGCAGCUCACUGGAGCGCAACUGACGCUGAAGCUCGAAAGUGCGGGUAUCGAACAGGAUUAGAUACCCUGGUAGUCCGCACGGUAAACGAUGGAUGCCCGCUGUUGGUCUGAAUAGGUCAGCGGCCAAGCGAAAGCAUUAAGCAUCCCACCUGGGGAGUACGCCGGCAACGGUGAA